GGGGAAUAUUGCGCAAUGGGGGAAACCCUGACGCAGCAAUACCGCGUGAGUGAAGAAGGUUUUCGGAUCGUAAAGCUCUGUUAUUGGGGAAGAAAAAAAGACGGUACCCAAGAAGAAAGUCCCGGCUAACUACGUGCCAGCAGCCGCGGUAAUACGUAGGGGACAAGCGUUGUCCGGAUUUACUGGGCGUAAAGGGCACGCAGGCGGAUACUUAAGUGGGAUGUGAAAUACCUGGGCUUAACUUGGGUGCUGCAUUCCAAACUGGGUGUCUAGAGUGUUGGAGAGGAAAGUGGAAUUCCUAGUGUAGCGGUGAAAUGCGUAGAGAUUAGGAAGAACACCAGUGGCGAAGGCGACUUUCUGGACAAUAACUGACGCUGAGGCUCGAAAGCGUGGGGAGCAAACA
Molecule: ribosomal RNA, 403 nt
Filed under: uncultured Eubacteriales bacterium
Lineage: Bacteria; Bacillati; Bacillota; Clostridia; Eubacteriales
Description: bacterial SSU rRNA
Rfam family: Bacterial small subunit ribosomal RNA
Source: RNAcentral